RNAcentral lists this long non-coding RNA (401 nucleotides) under Homo sapiens (human). Its description in RNAcentral is "HSALNT0281167". Lineage: Eukaryota; Metazoa; Chordata; Mammalia; Primates; Hominidae. The record is from RNAcentral.
GUUUUAUCCAGAACAGGCAGCUGCUCCUCACUCUUGUAUCCUAUUAUCACUGGGAUUCUGGUUGGAUGCUGCUCUCCGAUAAGUGAGACAUCUACUCUUUGUCUUAAGUGGUGAGCAAUUUGAUGUAAUUCAUAUGUCAGCAAGAUCACCUUAAAAAGAUCUGGUGGUCAGACCUUGGUGGGCAAGAGUGCCGAACUCUGGUAAGAUAAGGCCAGAGAAAUGAAAAAUUGUAUCUCUUUCUACACUUUGAAAUGUAUUUGUCUGAGAAAAAAUUAAGAGCCACAGUCAAGACAUGCAUUCUGUAGAUCAUCACAUGCUCUUUAAUUCCCCGUACUUUUUUUAGCCAGCCUAAUUUACACAUUUUUGUUAUUGAAAUGACUAAGGAUGGCAUUUGAAGUUGC